This 497-nucleotide ribosomal RNA is filed under the name uncultured bacterium. Its description in RNAcentral is "partial 16S ribosomal RNA". It matches the Rfam family "Bacterial small subunit ribosomal RNA", at positions 28 to 507 of the family's 1533-position model. The record is from RNAcentral.
GAUGAACGCUGGCGGCGUGCCUAAUACAUGCAAGUCGAGCGAACAGAUGAGGAGCUUGCUCCUCUGACGUUAGCGGCGGACGGGUGAGUAACGCGUGGAUAACCUACCUAUAAGACUGGGAUAACUUCGGGAAACCGGAGCUAAUACCGGAUAAUAUAUUGAACCGCAUGGUUCAAUAGUGAAAGACGGUUUUGCUGUCACUUAUAGAUGGAUCCGCGCCGCAUUAGCUAGUUGGUAAGGUAACGGCUUACCAAGGCAACGAUGCGUAGCCGACCUGAGAGGGUGAUCGGCCACACUGGAACUGAGACACGGUCCAGACUCCUACGGGAGGCGGCAGUAGGGAAUCUUCCGCAAUGGGCGAAAGCCUGACGGAGCAACGCCGCGUGAGUGAUGAAGGUCUUCGGAUCGUAAAACUCUGUUAUUAGGGAAGAACAAAUGUGUAAGUAACUAUGCACGUCUUGACGGUACCUAAUCAGAAAGCCACGGCUAACUACGUG